UACGUAGGGUGCGAGCGUUGUCCGGAAUCAUUGGGCGUAAAGCGCGCGUAGGUGGCUUCGUAAGUCCGUUGUGAAAGUCAAAGGCUCAACCUUUGAAUGCCGAUGGAUACUGCGGAGCUAGAGUACGGAAGAGGCGAGUGGAAUUCCUGGUGUAGCGGUGGAAUGCGCAGAUAUCAGGAGGAACACCAAUGGCGAAGGCAGCUCGCUGGGACGGUACUGACGCUGAGACGCGAAAGCGUGGGGAGCAAACAGG
This 253-nucleotide ribosomal RNA is filed under the name uncultured bacterium. Its description in RNAcentral is "partial 16S ribosomal RNA". It matches the Rfam family "Bacterial small subunit ribosomal RNA", at positions 524 to 776 of the family's 1533-position model. The record is from RNAcentral.